UGCUUUACACAUGCAAGUCGGACGGCAGCAUUACCUUCGGGUAGAUGGCGAGUGGCGGACGGGUGAGUAAUACAUCGGAACAAGCCUAUUAGUUGGGGAUAACCAAUCGAAAGAUUGGCUAAUACCGGAUGAGCUCUGAGGAGGAAAGCUGGGGACUAGAAAUGGCCUGGCGCUGAUAGAUUGGCCGAUGGUUGAUUAGUUAGUUGGUGGGGUAAAGGCCUACCAAGGCGAUGAUCAAUAGCUGUUCUGAGAGGAAGAUCAGCCACACUGGGACUGAGACACGGCCCAGACUCCUACGGGAGGCAGCAGUGGGGAAUUUUGGACAAUGGGGGCAACCCUGAUCCAGCAACGCCGCGUGGAUGAAGAAGGCCUUAGGGUUGUAAAGGUC
Molecule: ribosomal RNA, 388 nt
Filed under: uncultured organism
Description: bacterial SSU rRNA
Rfam family: Bacterial small subunit ribosomal RNA
Source: RNAcentral